CUGCCCUCAAGCGCGGCUUGUGUGUUGGGCGUGGUCCCCCUGGCUUUGGCGGGGACCUGCCCGAAAGGCAGCGGCGACGUCCCGCCUAGUCCUCGAGCGUAUGGGGCUCUGUCACGCGCUCGGGAGGGACUGGUGGGCGUUGGUCACCCCUUAUUCUUUCUAC
Molecule: unclassified non-coding RNA, 163 nt
Filed under: Talaromyces trachyspermus
Lineage: Eukaryota; Fungi; Ascomycota; Eurotiomycetes; Eurotiales; Trichocomaceae
Also listed under: 1 other name
Description: partial internal transcribed spacer 2
Source: RNAcentral